This 250-nucleotide ribosomal RNA is filed under the name uncultured bacterium. RNAcentral's name for it is "partial 16S ribosomal RNA". It matches the Rfam family "Bacterial small subunit ribosomal RNA", at positions 524 to 773 of the family's 1533-position model. The record is from RNAcentral.
UACGAACUGUGCGAACGUUAUUCGGAAUCACUGGGCUUAAAGGGUGCGUAGGCGGCGGCUCCAGUCAGGUGUGAAAUCCCCCGGCUCAACCGGGGAACAGCGCUUGAAACUAGGUCGCUCGAGUGAGGCAGGGGUGCAUGGAACUUCCGGUGGAGCGGUGAAAUGUGUAGAGAUCGGAAGGAACGCCGGCGGCGAAAGCGGUGCACUGGGCCUUGUCUGACGCUGAGGCACGAAAGCUAGGGGAGUGAAC